GAACGCACCUUGCGCCCUUUGGCUAUUCCGAAGGGCAUGCCUGUUUGAGUAUCAUGAACACCUCAACUCUCAUGGUUCGCCAUGAUGAGCUUGGACUCUGGGGGUCUUGCUGGCUCAUGGUCAGCUCCUCUUAAAUAAAUCAGCUUUCCAGUGUUUGGUGGCAAUCACAGGUGUGAUAACUAUCUACGCUUGUGGUGUCCUCCCAGGUAACCUUCAGCAAUGGAGGUCACUGGAGCUAAUAAAUGCACAUCUCUUGUUGUAGGGAUGGCCUUUUAGAUGUUUGAUCUCAAAUCAGGUAGGACUACCCGCUGAACUUA
RNAcentral lists this unclassified non-coding RNA (317 nucleotides) under uncultured Thelephoraceae. Its description in RNAcentral is "sequence contains 5.8S rRNA gene". The record is from RNAcentral. Lineage: Eukaryota; Fungi; Basidiomycota; Agaricomycetes; Thelephorales; Thelephoraceae.